Triticum dicoccoides is the source of this 422-nucleotide long non-coding RNA. RefSeq lists it as uncharacterized. The transcript has 2 exons. The record is from RefSeq and is a predicted model, not a curated record. Lineage: Eukaryota; Viridiplantae; Streptophyta; Magnoliopsida; Poales; Poaceae.
UGCAGCGACGAUGGCGGCGGCGGCGGCGGAGACAAUAAGAUGCAGUACAGCUUGUUGUACCAGUACCAUUGACAUCCAUCACAUGGCCAAAGACAAAGCGACUCCCAUGUAGUUCUUCCAAUCGGCAUUGAUAACGACAAGCUCAUUUGGAUCGAUUGCACGCGAGAUGGGUUCCCGGCCGGCGGCGCGUCUGCUCCAUGCAAAUAUCUUCAUGAUGCAAUCUACUCCGACGACAAAUACGAUGACUACUAGAUUAACGCGACAUGAUUUACCCAUCAUGCAAUAAACACGCACAAAAAACCUGAAACUACUUAUACUCUGAUGGUGUACUCUUUUUAAUUAAUUAUUAUUCUUAUUUGUCUUGUAAUCUAGUUUAAAAUGAAUUGUGCUUUAUUUUAUUAUAUACUUAUUUUCUUAACGCA